RNAcentral lists this ribosomal RNA (136 nucleotides) under uncultured eukaryote. RNAcentral's name for it is "partial 18S ribosomal RNA". It matches the Rfam family "Eukaryotic small subunit ribosomal RNA", at positions 1299 to 1458 of the family's 1831-position model. The record is from RNAcentral.
UGGUGGAGUGAUUUGUCUGGUUAAUUCCGAUAACGAACGAGACCCCGAGCUGCUAAAUAGCCCGACCGGCUUUGGCUGGUCGCUGGCUUCUUAGAGCGACGUCCGGCGUUUAGUCGGAGGAAGUGGGGCAAUAACA